Long non-coding RNA from Hevea brasiliensis (rubber tree), 581 nucleotides. RefSeq lists it as uncharacterized. The transcript is spliced from 2 exons. The record is from RefSeq and is a predicted model, not a curated record. Lineage: Eukaryota; Viridiplantae; Streptophyta; Magnoliopsida; Malpighiales; Euphorbiaceae.
GAGAAAGGGAAAAGCUUUCCAUUGUCUCUAUGCGAAUAUUCUCUGCCUCACAACAUCAACUUGUCCAUUUGAUACCAAACCCAGUUACUAUUAUGUUCUUCUUACUUUGAUUUCCAGUCUCACCUAAUCAACCUCAAAGUUUUGAAGUGGUUGAUUUGGGAUGACAAAGGGCAAGGAAAGUCAUGGUCUUUCCCAGCAAGAGCAAGGGAAGAUCACCAGAACAAGAAGAUAUAUGAAUCCAUGCAUGCCAUGUUUUCUGGUGUCCUCCAUUUCUAAAAGGGUUAGUAGAUGUUUGUUUGUAUGUUGUUACCCCGUUGUGCAGUGCUUUGGUUGGGAUGACCAUAGACACCAUCAUCAUCACCACAGGCAUUUCCAUUGAUUCACCUUCAAUUAUCCCCAUCACCAAGAAAUUUAAUUGCUUUGGUAUGCCCAAUUUCAAUUUUAUCUGCUUUCUAGUAUUAAUGCAAUUACGUUCCAAGGGUAGGUUAAUUAUAUAUGCUUUAGUGGUUAGGAAUUGCCUCUUUGAUCUUUGUUGAUUUGAAGACAGAUUUAUAUAUACAUGUUCUCAUUCUUCUCUUGCA